CGAGGCCGUCAAGUAAAGGUGGACGUUUGCUCCCCAAAGAAGGAAAUAGCCAUCAUUUUUCUUGAGAAACUACAACUGCAGGGAGAAAAAUGAAAGAUCCCAGGCUCUGACCUCAGCUGGAUGUCGGGGAGAAAAAGUCAGGCAGAGAGAGUGGGCAGAACUUCCUGGAGUUGAAGAGCACUGGGAGCCUGAGGUCAGGGACCCGAUGGAGGAGUCCUGGAAGCAAGGACGGAGAGCAAGCUUCUCGAUUGACAGCACAGAGACGGGGCUCAGAGCACAGGCUGGAGCCUGUCUAAUUGCGAAUCCUGACUCCAGACCUUACUGGCUGUAUGACCUGUAUCAAGACUACUUCCACUUUCUCUGCCUCCAUCUCAUGAUUUUCACGGUGGAGACCUUCACAGCGCUUCCCUCCAAGGGCUGUUGUCGGAUGUAGUGAAUAAAUGCAUGGAAAGCGCCUCAGAUGGCAGUGGCCCGUGUUAACCAGGAUGUGUUUGCUAUGAUUGUUCUGUUUGUAUUUCUGGGUCACCUCUGAAUGCUUGGUUGGGCCUCAGUUGUCUUGCAGGCUCCUUCUUUUUUUCCCAGUUCC
RNAcentral lists this long non-coding RNA (586 nucleotides) under Equus caballus (horse). RNAcentral's name for it is "lncRNA (ENSECAG00000033933.3)". The record is from RNAcentral. Lineage: Eukaryota; Metazoa; Chordata; Mammalia; Perissodactyla; Equidae.